RNAcentral lists this ribosomal RNA (253 nucleotides) under uncultured bacterium. RNAcentral's name for it is "partial 16S ribosomal RNA". It matches the Rfam family "Bacterial small subunit ribosomal RNA", at positions 524 to 776 of the family's 1533-position model. The record is from RNAcentral.
UACGUAGGUGGCAAGCGUUGUCCGGAUUUACUGGGCGUAAAGAGCGCGCAGGCGGUCGUUUAAGUCGAAUGUGAAAGCCCCCGGCUUAACUGGGGAGGGUCAUUCGAUACUGAUCGACUUGAAGGCAGGAGAGGGAAGCAGAAUUCCCGGUGUAGUGGUGAAAUGCGUAGAUAUCGGGAGGAACACCAGUGGCGAAGGCGACUUCCUGGCCUGUUCUUGACGCUGAGGCGCGAAAGCUAGGGGAGCAAACGGG